UACAGAGGGGGCAAGCGUUGUUCGGAAUUACUGGGCGUAAAGGGCGCGUAGGCGGCCCGCUAAGUCGAACGUGAAAUCCCCAGGCUCAACCUGGGAACUGCGUCCGAUACUGGCAGGCUUGAAUCCGGGAGAGGGAUGUGGAAUUCCAGGUGUAGCGGUGAAAUGCGUAGAUAUCUGGAGGAACACCGGUGGCGAAGGCGGCAUCCUGGACCGGUAUUGACGCUGAGGCGCGAAAGCGUGGGGAGCAAACAGG
Molecule: ribosomal RNA, 253 nt
Filed under: uncultured bacterium
Lineage: Bacteria
Description: partial 16S ribosomal RNA
Rfam family: Bacterial small subunit ribosomal RNA
Source: RNAcentral